Molecule: ribosomal RNA, 397 nt
Filed under: uncultured bacterium
Lineage: Bacteria
Description: partial 16S ribosomal RNA
Rfam family: Bacterial small subunit ribosomal RNA
Source: RNAcentral
AUACGUAGGGGGCGAGCGUUGUCCGGAAUGAUUGGGCGUAAAGGGCGCGUAGGCGGCCCGGUAAGUCUGGAGUGAAAGUCCUGUUUUUAAGAUGGGAAUUGCUUUGGAUACUGUCGGGCUUGAGUGCAGGAGAGGUAAGUGGAAUUCCCAGUGUAGCGGUGAAAUGCGUAGAGAUUAGGAGGAACACCAGUGGCGAAGGCGACUUACUGGACUGUAACUGACGCUGAGGCGCGAAAGUGUGGGGAGCAAACAGGAUUAGAUACCCUGGUAGUCCACACUGUAAACGAUGAAUGCUAGGUGUAGGGGGUAUCGACCCCUUCUGUGCCGCAGUCAACACAAUAAGCAUUCCACCUGGGGAGUACGGCCGCAAGGUUGAAACUCAAAUGAAUUGACGGGG